RNAcentral lists this ribosomal RNA (61 nucleotides) under Mentha x dumetorum. The record is from RNAcentral. Lineage: Eukaryota; Viridiplantae; Streptophyta; Magnoliopsida; Lamiales; Lamiaceae.
GUGCUUGGGCGAGAGUAGUACUAGGAUGGGUGACCACCUGGGAAGUUCUCGUGUUGCACCC